RNAcentral lists this long non-coding RNA (1147 nucleotides) under Lathyrus oleraceus (garden pea). RNAcentral's name for it is "Pisum sativum (pea) long non-coding RNA (PSAT_LNC040138)". Lineage: Eukaryota; Viridiplantae; Streptophyta; Magnoliopsida; Fabales; Fabaceae. The record is from RNAcentral.
UACGCAUCCGUAGUACUCUACGGGAUCCACUUAUGCGGUUUCUGUUUAAAGGGUGUGGUUUUGCCUAAUGUGCUAUUUACUAAAAAGGUUGAGAGAAAUGACUCGCGCGGAUGUCGCAUCCACUGCAUACGUAUCUCAUCUGAAUAUGAGAAUCAGAGUCUUCGUAGCUCGGCUGACCUAUGGGUUGGGGGGAUGUGUGCUCGCUAAGACAUCGCGUCUUAUGCCUACGUAUCUCAUCUGGAAUGAGAAUCAGAGCAAGCCGUAGUUCGACUAACUACGGGGUUAUGGAUUAUGUUACGGGGUGAACAACGUUACUACGCAAUCUACCGGAUGCUCGACCUUUGGAGACUUACUCGCCUGUAGUAGAAGGAGUAAACGUGUUGCUUUGGGUUUUAGGUUUUGUUUGCGUUGUAGGAACGCGCAUGCAAAAAGGAAGUCCUAGGCGGAGGAACAGUGCUACCUAAAUUGGCAUGCAAACGGGAGACUAUGCGAAGCCUCGCAUCCUAUGGGGAAACAAUCACAUCACACAAAACAUAUAUCUUGAAAUAGAAAAAAUGCCACCAAGGGGCUCAAACAUUGCCUCCUAUCGAGGUCUUCCAGCUAAGAAACAGUAGAAAUAAAAGGGAAGAAGUAAAAUACCACACGGAUCAAGAUCCGAAGUUACAGCAAUUAAAGGAUAAGCGACCCUGAGAUUCUCCCAAGCUGAUGCCAUCAAAGAAAACCAAUCAGUACGGGAAAUCGGAAUAAACCUCCGGAGGGUAUCCCUGCGAGAAUAUGUGAGCCCUCACAAAAACUCAACAAAAGGGGUUAGGCAAACAGGAUGAAAUCAAAAGAUAACAAGGCCAUGGCAACACAAAGAACAGGUUAGAACAAAACGGAAUAAAGCAGAUACUGUCACAUUCGCGACUGCUUCGCCUAGCGAAAGCCUAGCGAAGCUUCGCUGCGUGCUCGCCUAGCGAAGCGGCUAGCGAGCACCUGCGGGAUUUGGAUUUCCCAUUGGUACCUGCACGAUGUUAAAGAUUCCAGAUCCUAUGGCAUUCACCUCAGAAACGAAAUUGUUAAACAGUCAAGGCAUAAAUCACAUAUUCAUACACAAAUAUAACCCUGUGGGCCAAACCUGAGGUUACCUCAUAUAUUCAGUAUUCAA